Molecule: ribosomal RNA, 1459 nt
Filed under: uncultured Bordetella sp.
Lineage: Bacteria; Pseudomonadati; Pseudomonadota; Betaproteobacteria; Burkholderiales; Alcaligenaceae
Description: partial 16S-23S ribosomal RNA intergenic spacer
Rfam family: Bacterial small subunit ribosomal RNA
Source: RNAcentral
GGUUCGAUCAUGGCUCAGAUUGAACGCUGGCCGGAAGGUCUUUACACAUGCAAGUCGAACGGCAGCACGGACUUCGGUCUGGUGGCGAGUGGCGAACGGGUGAGUAAUGUAUCGGAACGUGCCUAGUAGCGGGGGAUAACUGCGCAGCGUAGCUAAUACCGCAUACGCCCUUCGGGAAAGCGGGGACCUUCGGGCCUCGCACUAUUAGAGCGGCCGAUAUCGGAUUAGCUAGUUGGUGGGAGGUAACGGCUCACCAAGGCGACGAUCCGUAGCUGGUUUGAGAGGACGACCUUGUACACUGGGACUGAGACACGGCCCAGACUCCUGGAGGCAGCAGUGGGGAAUUUUGGACAAUGGAAACCUGAUCCAGCCAUCCCGCGUGUGCGAUGAAGGCCUUCGGGUUAUCAGCACUUUUGGCAGGAAAGAAACGGCACGGGAUAAUACCCCGUGCAACUGACGGCUACAGAAUAAGCACCGGCUUCUUCACGGCAGCAGCCGCGGUAAUACGUAGGGUGCAAGCGUUAAUCGGAAUUACUGGGCGUAAAGCGUGCGCAGGCGGUUCGGAAAGAAAGAUGUGAAAUCCCAGAGCUUAACUUUGGAACUGCAUUUUUAACUACCGAGCUAGAGUGUGUCAGAGGGAGGUGGAAUUCCGCGUGUAGCAGUGAAAUGCGUAGAUAUGCGGAGGAACACCGAUAGCGAGCAACCUCCUGGGAUAACACAGCGCUCAUGCACCCAGCGUGGGAGCAAACGGGAUUAGAUACCCUGGUAGUCCACGCCCUAAACGAUGUCAACUAGCUGUUGGGGCCUUCGGGCCUUGGUAGCGCAGCUAACGCGUGAAAGUUGACCGCCUGGGAAGUACGGUCGCAAGAUUAAAACUCAAAGGAAUUGACGGGGACCCGCACAAGCGGUGGAUGAUGUGGAUUAAUUCGAUGCAACGCGAAAAACCUUACCUACCCUUGACAUGUCUGAAUCCAAAUUUGGGAGUGCUCGCAAGAGAACCGGAACACAGGUGCUGCAUGGCUGUCGUCAGCUCGUGUCGUGAGAUGUUGGGUUAAGUCCCGCAACGAGCGCAACCCUUGUCAUUAGUUGCUACGAAAGGGCACUCUAUUAGGACUGCCGGUGACAAACCGGAGGAAGGUGGGGAUGACGUCAAGUCCUCAUGGCUUCCAUAUGGGUAGGGCUUCACACGUCAUACAAUGGUCAGGUUGGGGGUCGCCAACCCGCGAGGGAGCCAAUCAGAAACGAUCGUAGUCCGGAUCGCAGUCUGCAACUCGACUGCGUGAAGUCCGGAAUCGCUAGUAAUCGCGGAUCAGCAUGUCGCGGUGAAUACGUUCCCGGGUCUUGCGCACACCGCCCGUCACACCAUGGGAGUGGGUUUACCAGAAGUAGUUAAGCUGGCGUAAGGAGGGCGAUUACCACGGUAGGAUUCAUGACUGGGGUGAAGUCGUAACAAAGGUAG